AUGGGUCAUUCAGGGUUUUCCUUUUCCUUUUCCUUUUCUGUACUGCAUAUGGUGUUAGAUUACAAUUUGCGUAUCAGCUAUGAGGGAAAAGAGCUGAAGUGGGUAUAUUUGAAAUUGUUACACUGUAGAUAUCUCAAAUCAAGUGCCAUGUGUAAUGGAGUAUUAUUAUUGGUGUCCACUGUUAGUAGAUUAUCCUGCCUGUCAAUCCAAUUGAUUGUACGAUGGACCUGUGACUUCGUACUAUUAUUGUUCGCCGAAUGUUCUGAGUAUUUGGUGCUUGAUAAAUGUCCAAGUUGUUGGACUUUUGAGAGUUAA
This 315-nucleotide ribosomal RNA is filed under the name Triticum aestivum (bread wheat). RNAcentral describes it as "partial small subunit ribosomal RNA". Lineage: Eukaryota; Viridiplantae; Streptophyta; Magnoliopsida; Poales; Poaceae. The record is from RNAcentral.